Molecule: ribosomal RNA, 440 nt
Filed under: uncultured bacterium
Lineage: Bacteria
Description: partial 16S ribosomal RNA
Rfam family: Bacterial small subunit ribosomal RNA
Source: RNAcentral
CCUACGGGUGGCAGCAGUGGGGAAUAUUGGACAAUGGGGGAAACCCUGAUCCAGCGACGCCGCGUGAGUGAAGAAGUAUUUCGGUACGGAAAGCCCUAUCAGCAGGAAAGAAAAUGACGGUACCUGACUAAGAAGCCCCGGCAAACUACGUGCCAGCAGCGGCGGUAAUACGUAGGGGGCAAGCGUUAUCCGGAUUUACUGGGUGGAAAGGGAGCGUAGACGGGAGCGCAAGGCUGGAGUGAAAUGCCGGGGCCCAACCCCGGAACUGCCCUGGAAACCGGGAAGCUGGAGUGCAGGAGAGGUAAGCGGAAUUCGUGGUGUAGCGGUGAAAUGCGUAGAUAUCAGGAGGAACACCGGCGGCGAAGGCGGCUUACUGGACUGUAACUGACGUUGAGGCUCGAAGGCGUGGGGAGCGAACAGGAUUAGAUACCCGAGUAGUC